Long non-coding RNA from Mustela lutreola (European mink), 535 nucleotides. RefSeq lists it as uncharacterized. The record is from RefSeq and is a predicted model, not a curated record. NCBI's taxonomy places the organism in Eukaryota, Metazoa, Chordata, Mammalia, Carnivora, Mustelidae. The transcript is spliced from 3 exons.
GGGAGAGAAAGCAGUUUAAUCAAGCUUGAGCCUGGCCUGGGGAGCGCCUGAGAGUCUCGCCAAGGAGCAGCGGCAGGCCCUCUCUGUGUCUUCCGGACUAUCCUGUGACCCCCAUCCUCCAAGGCCAAGCUGAGUUUCCAUAAGCCCACGAGCGUCAUCUCUAACCCAUGAAGAUGAGUGUGUGACUCCGGCUGAAAAGGCUCCACACCACCGACUCCUCUCCCCUUUCCCGCUGUCUUCAGGUUGGAACCUGGGCUCCUGGACCCGGUGUUCAGCACCUCUCACUCUCCUGCCUCCUCGUCAGCCGUUUCUCUGGCAGCUUCUCCACAAUCCUCUCCUGUGACCUGCCCCUGUGAAGCUCCCAGUCAGUUCCAGCCUGUGGGAAGGUCAGCGUGCACUGUCGGGCUUGGCACGUGGCCCGGGCUUGCGUGAUGUUUCUUCACCAGCUCAAGCGACUUAUGGAUGGAUCCAGCUGGAAGAAAUUGUUUAGAAUAAGCCCAUUACCCUUAAUAAAUAAUUAAGCUGUCAGAUGUGA